Molecule: long non-coding RNA, 1627 nt
Filed under: Salmo salar (Atlantic salmon)
Lineage: Eukaryota; Metazoa; Chordata; Actinopteri; Salmoniformes; Salmonidae
Description: lncRNA (ENSSSAG00000105422.1, ENSSSAG00000113539.1)
Source: RNAcentral
GUUACAGUCAUACAUACUGGUUACAAUUACUAUGUUACAGUGAUACAUACUGGUUAUAAUUACUAUGUUACAGUCAUACAUACUGGUUAUAAUUACUAUGUUACAGUCAUACAUACUGGUUACAAUUACUAUGUUACAGUCAUACAUACUGGUUAUAAUUACUUUGUUACAGUCAUACAUACUGGUUAUCACACACACACACACACACACGGUCGUUUUGUUCACACACACACACACACACACACACACACACACGGUCGUUUUGUUCACACACACACACUGUCGUUUUGUUCACACACACACACAAGGUCGUUUUGUUCACACACACACACACACAAAUGGUCGUUUUGUUCACACACACACACGGUCGUUUUGUUCACACACACACACGGUCGUUUUGUUCACACACACACACGGUCGUUUUGUUCACACACACACACGGUCGUUUUGUUCACACACACACACGGUCGUUUUGUUCACACACACACGGUCGUUUUGUUCACAAACACACACACACGGUCGUUUUGUUCACACACACACACGGUCGUUUUUUUUUCACACACACACACACACACACGGUCGUUUUGUUCUCUCACACACACACGGUCGUUUUGUUCACACACACACACACACACGGUCGUUUUGUUCACACACACACGGUCGUUUUGUUCACACACAACACACACACACGGUCGUUUUGUUCACACACACACACACACGGUCGCUUCGUUCACACACACACACACACACACACGGUCGUUUUGUUCACACACACACACACACGGUCGUUUUGUUCACACACACACACGGUCGUUUUGUUCACACACACACACGGUCGUUUUGUUCACACACACACACACACGGUCGUUUUGUUCACACACACACACACACACACACACACACGGUCGUUUUGUUCACACACACACACACACACGGUCGUUUUGUUCACACACACACACAUGGUCGUUUUGUUCACACACACACACACGGUCGUUUUGUUCACACACACACACACGGUCGUUUUGUUCACACACACACACACGGUCGUUUUGUUCACACACACACACACACAGUCGUUUUGUUCACACACACGCACACACACACACGGUCGUUUUGUUCACACACACACACACACGGUCGUUUUGUUCACACACACACACACGGUCGUUUUGUUCACACACAUACACACACACACACACACACACACACACGGUCGUUUUGUUCACACACACACACACACACACACACACGGUCGUUUUGUUCACACACACACACGGUCGUUUUGUUCACACACACACACGGUCGUUUUGUUCACACACACACACGGUCGUUUUGGUCACACACACACACGGUCGUUUUGUUCACACACACACGGUCGUUUUGUUCACAAACACACACACACACACGGUCGUUUUGUUCACACACACACACGGUCGUUUUUUUCACACACACACACACACACACACACACACACACACCACGGUCGUUUUGUUCUCUCACACACACACGGUCGUUUUGUUCACACACACACACACACACGGUCGUUUUGUUCACACACACACAGGUCGUUUGUUCACACACACACACACACACACACACGGUCGUUUUGUUCACACACACACGGUCG